GAAAUGCGAUAAGUAGUGUGAAUUGCAGAAUUCAGUGAAUCAUCGAAUCUUUGAACACACAUUGCGCCCCUUGGUAUUCCAUGGGGCAUGCCUGUUCGAGCGUCAUCUACACCCUCAAGCUCUGCUUGGUGUUGGGCGUCUUUGUCCCGCCUCCGCGCGCGGACUCGCCCCAAAUUCAUUGGCAGCGGUCCUUGCCUCCUCUCGCGCAGCACAUUGCGCUUCUCGAGGUGUUGCGGCCCGCGUCCAGAAAGCAAUCGUUACCGUCUUUGACCUCGGAUCAGGUAGGGAUACCCGCUGAACUUAAGC
RNAcentral lists this unclassified non-coding RNA (306 nucleotides) under plant metagenome. RNAcentral describes it as "partial contains 5.8S ribosomal RNA, internal transcribed spacer 2, and large subunit ribosomal RNA". The stretch from base 1 to 105 matches the Rfam family "5.8S ribosomal RNA", at positions 50 to 154 of the family's 154-position model. The record is from RNAcentral.